GACGAACCGUGCGAACGUUGUUCGGAAUCACUGGGCAUAAAGGGCGCGUAGGCGGCUUUUCAAGUCAGGGGUGAAAUCCGGCAGCUUAACUGUCGAAGUGCCUUUGAUACUGGGAAGCUCGAGGGAGGUAGGGGUCUGUGGAACUUCCGGUGGAGCGGUGAAAUGCGUUGAUAUCGGAAGGAACGCCGGUGGCGAAAGCGACGGACUGGACCUCUUCUGACGCUGAGGCGCGAAAGCCAGGGGAGCAAACGGG
RNAcentral lists this ribosomal RNA (253 nucleotides) under uncultured bacterium. RNAcentral describes it as "partial 16S ribosomal RNA". It matches the Rfam family "Bacterial small subunit ribosomal RNA", at positions 524 to 776 of the family's 1533-position model. The record is from RNAcentral.